This 497-nucleotide ribosomal RNA is filed under the name uncultured bacterium. RNAcentral describes it as "partial 16S ribosomal RNA". It matches the Rfam family "Bacterial small subunit ribosomal RNA", at positions 28 to 507 of the family's 1533-position model. The record is from RNAcentral.
GAUGAACGCUGGCGGCGUGCCUAAUACAUGCAAGUCGAGCGAACAGACGAGGAGCUUGCUCCUUCGACGUUAGCGGCGGACGGGUGAGUAACACGUAGGUAACCUACCUAUAAGACUGGGAUAACUUCGGGAAACCGGAGCUAAUACCGGAUAAUAUUUCGAACCGCAUGGUUCGAUAGUGAAAGAUGGCUUUGCUAUCACUUAUAGAUGGACCUGCGCCGUAUUAGCUAGUUGGUAAGGUAACGGCUUACCAAGGCAACGAUACGUAGCCGACCUGAGAGGGUGAUCGGCCACACUGGAACUGAGACACAGUCCAGACUCCUACGGGAGGCAGCAGUAGGGAAUCUUCCGCAAUGGGCGAAAGCCUGACGGAGCAACGCCGCGUGAGUGAUGAAGGUCUUCGGAUCGUAAAACUCUGUUAUUAGGGAAGAACAAACGUGUAAGUAACUGUGCACGUCUUGACGGUACCUAAUCAGAAAGCCACGGCUAACUACGUG